CUGUUCUUUUAUCUGAUAUUUAUUUAUUUUCUUAUUUCAAGGGUACGUCCUAGGACCUUUUCACCUCCAGGCUCCAAAUUGCUGAAUUGUCCUGUACCUGGCAAGCCGCAAAGACCAUUUUUAUCAACCCAAGCCAAGUUACCUUCUUCAUCGACCUGUGUUAACUGAAGCAAAAUUAAAAUGUUUUCUUUUGUUUUUUCGUAUUGCCCAAUGAUAUGGUCUCCUAUUUCUCGUGUUCAGGAGACCCUCCGUCAAUUUUUCAGCUUCCAAAGCCUUCCCCGCCAGACAGUGAGCGAAAUGCUGCGACCGCUAAGGAGUAUCCUCCUGUAAACAAAUCCCC
RNAcentral lists this small RNA (340 nucleotides) under Histoplasma capsulatum. RNAcentral's name for it is "hypothetical RNA". Lineage: Eukaryota; Fungi; Ascomycota; Eurotiomycetes; Onygenales; Ajellomycetaceae. The record is from RNAcentral. RNAcentral also lists the same sequence under 1 other name.